This 484-nucleotide ribosomal RNA is filed under the name uncultured bacterium. Its description in RNAcentral is "partial 16S ribosomal RNA". It matches the Rfam family "Bacterial small subunit ribosomal RNA", at positions 29 to 507 of the family's 1533-position model. The record is from RNAcentral.
AGUGAACGCUGGCGGCAGGCCUAACACAUGCAAGUCGAACGGCAGAAGAGUACUUGCUUCUUGUUUCGGGUGGCGAGUGGUGGGUAAUUGCGAAGAAUCUGGCUAUUUAUUUUUUAUAAGGGGAGAACACGGGGGCUAAUACCCCAUUAGUCCUUACGAACAAAGGGUGAAAUCUGGGGACCUCACGCUCUCGCGUGAUCCGAUGUGGGAUUAGCUAGUUGGCGGGGUAAAGGCCUACCAAGGCGACGAUCCGUAGCUGGUCUGAGAGGAUGAUCAGUCACACUGGAACUGAGACACGGUCCAGACUCCUACGGGAGGCAGCAGUGGGGAAUAUUGGACAAUGGGCGCAAGCCUGAUCCAGCCAUGCCGCGUGGGUGAAGAAGGUCUUCGGAUUGUAAAGCCCUUUAAUUUGGGAAGAAAAGCAGCAAGUUAAUACCCCGCUGUUCUGACGUUACCCAAAGAAUAAGCACCGGCUAACUUCGUG